GUGUCAGCAGCCGCGGUAAUACGUAGGCAGCGAGCGUUGUUCGGAGUUACUGGGCGUAAAGCGUGCGUAGGCGGUGGUCCAAGUCUGGUGUGAAAUCUCCCGGCUCAACUGGGAGGGUGCGCCGGAAACUGGGCCGCUGGAGUAUGGGAGAGGCAAGCGGAAUUCCAGGUGUAGCGGUGAAAUGCGUAGAUAUCUGGAGGAACACCCGUGGUGCAGACGGCUUGCUGGACCAUCACUGACGCUGAGGCACGAAAGCGUGGGUAGCAAACAGGAUUAGAAACCCGCGUAGUCC
This 292-nucleotide ribosomal RNA is filed under the name uncultured bacterium. RNAcentral's name for it is "partial 16S ribosomal RNA". It matches the Rfam family "Bacterial small subunit ribosomal RNA", at positions 505 to 796 of the family's 1533-position model. The record is from RNAcentral.